RNAcentral lists this long non-coding RNA (233 nucleotides) under Lathyrus oleraceus (garden pea). RNAcentral describes it as "Pisum sativum (pea) long non-coding RNA (PSAT_LNC039744)". Lineage: Eukaryota; Viridiplantae; Streptophyta; Magnoliopsida; Fabales; Fabaceae. The record is from RNAcentral.
UGAAGUUAACCUUAUCGGAAGGGAAGAAGGGGUCCUGAAGUUAACCUUAUCAGGAAGAGAAGAAAGUUUCCGAAGUUAACCUUAAAAGUUAACCUUAUCAGGAAGAGAAGAAAGUUUCUGAAGUUAACCUUAUCGGAAGGGAAGAAGGGGUCCUGAAGUUAACCUUAUCAGGAAGAGAAGAAAGUUUCCGAAGUUAACCUUAUCGAAAGGGAAGAAGGGGUCCUGAAGUUAAC